This is a long non-coding RNA of Oryzias latipes (Japanese medaka), 629 nucleotides long. RefSeq lists it as uncharacterized. The record is from RefSeq and is a predicted model, not a curated record. Lineage: Eukaryota; Metazoa; Chordata; Actinopteri; Beloniformes; Adrianichthyidae.
CAGGUGCAUCGAUGCAGCAGUUUCUUAGUUGGAAUCAAACUCGGCACACCAAAUGGUUUUGCCAUGGAAGCAGGCCAGGCUGGCAAAGAACGCCUCGUCACAAGAAUAUUCUCCAUGGCGACGUCGUAGUGAGGCCGACAGAAGACCCUGUUCUCAAACAGUCCACACUCCUCUCCAGUGGAGAGCUGGCGCUUGCAUGAGGCACAGGAGAAACACGCUAGAUGGAAGGUGCUGCCUUUUGCCCGACGCACCCAGUCAGUAGAGUGGAUAUUACGACCACACCGAGCGCAGCGAGUACCGUACCUCCUGAAGAAAACAAAAGGAGUUUGUAAAGGACUGGCUUAAGGCUGACAUUUGAGAACUGUAUGCAGUUUCUUCUGCUUUAAGAAUCUGAUAGUUUGACCAUAUCAUUUGAAGAUAGCAUGUGAAGCCCACUCCUAACAAGGAUCACAGGAGGUGCACAGAGUUUUACCCUGCAACGAGCCCACCAUGGGAACAGAAGACAAUGAGGAUGAGGAGAGGGAGGAUGGAGAGUAGGAGUCGUCCUCAAAAAUGUCAUCAGACCCAGAGGAGCCCUGUGAAAUAUCAAAGUAUUGUCAAAUAAAAUGCUAUUUGAGAUUAAAUCUAGU